RNAcentral lists this ribosomal RNA (253 nucleotides) under uncultured bacterium. RNAcentral describes it as "partial 16S ribosomal RNA". It matches the Rfam family "Bacterial small subunit ribosomal RNA", at positions 524 to 776 of the family's 1533-position model. The record is from RNAcentral.
UACGUAGGGUGCGAGCGUUGUCCGGAACUACUGGGCGUAAAGAGCUCGUAGGUGGUUUGUCGCGUUGUUCGUGAAAACCUGAGGCUUAACCUUGGGCGUGCGGGCGAUACGGGCAGACUGGAGUACUGCAGGGGAGACUGGAAUUCCUGGUGUAGCGGUGGAAUGCGCAGAUAUCAGGAGGAACACCGGUGGCGAAGGCGGUUCUCUGGGCCUUACCUGACACUGAGGAGCGAAAGCGUGGGGAGCGAACAGG